CAAUAGCGUAUAUUAAAGUUGUUGCGGUUAAAAAGCUCGUAGUUGGAUUUCUGCUGAGAACGACCGGUCCGCCCUUUGGGUGUGUAUCUGGCUCUUUCUUGGCAUCUUCUUGGUGAACGUUGCUGCACUUGACUGUGUGGAGCGCUACCCAGGACUUUUACUUUGAGGAAAUUAGAGUGUUUCAAGCAGGCAUACGCCUUGAAUACAUUAGCAUGGAAUAAUAACAUAGGAUCUUCGUCCUAUUUUGUUGGUUUCUAGGGCUAAGAUAAUGAUUAAUAGGGAUAAUUGGGGGCAUCUGUAUCAACGCGUCAGAGGUGGAAUUCUUGGAUUGCGUUGCGACAAACUACUGCGAAAGCAUUUGCCAAGGAUGUUUUCAUUGA
This 380-nucleotide ribosomal RNA is filed under the name uncultured eukaryote. RNAcentral describes it as "partial 18S ribosomal RNA". It matches the Rfam family "Eukaryotic small subunit ribosomal RNA", at positions 592 to 976 of the family's 1831-position model. The record is from RNAcentral.